RNAcentral lists this ribosomal RNA (433 nucleotides) under uncultured bacterium. Its description in RNAcentral is "partial 16S ribosomal RNA". It matches the Rfam family "Bacterial small subunit ribosomal RNA", at positions 29 to 507 of the family's 1533-position model. The record is from RNAcentral.
AACGAACGCUGGCGGCAUGCCUAACACAUGCAAGUCGAACGAGACCUUCGGGUCUAGUGGCGCACGGGUGCGUAACGCGUGGGAACCUGCCCUUAGGUUCGGAAUAACUCCCCGAAAGGGGUGCUAAUACCGGAUAAUGUCUUCGGACCAAAGAUUUAUCGCCUUUGGAUGGGCCCGCGUUGGAUUAGCUAGUUGGUAGGGUAAAAGCCUACCAAGGCGACGAUCCAUAGCUGGUCUGAGAGGAUGAUCAGCCACACUGGGUCUGAGACACGGCCCAGACUCCUACGGGAGGCAGCAGUGGGGAAUAUUGGACAAUGGGCGAAAGCCUGAUCCAGCAAUGCCGCGUGAGUGAUGAAGGCCUUAGGGUUGUAAAGCUCUUUUACCCGGGAUGAUAAUGACAGUACCGGGAGAAUAAGCUCCGGCUAACUCCGUG